GCAGCCGUGGUGUAGUCUGGUCUAACAUGCCUCCCUGUCACGGAGGAGAUCGCCGGUUCAAAUCCGGUCGGCUGCG
RNAcentral lists this transfer RNA (76 nucleotides) under Parcubacteria group bacterium. Its description in RNAcentral is "tRNA-Asp". It matches the Rfam family "tRNA". From Rfam's summary of the family: Transfer RNA (tRNA) molecules are approximately 80 nucleotides in length. Their secondary structure includes four short double-helical elements and three loops (D, anti-codon, and T loops). Further hydrogen bonds mediate the characteristic L-shaped molecular structure. tRNAs have two regions of fundamental functional importance: the anti-codon, which is responsible for specific mRNA codon recognition, and the 3' end, to which the tRNAs corresponding amino acid is attached (by aminoacyl-tRNA synthetases). tRNAs cope with the degeneracy of the genetic code in two manners: having more than one tRNA (with a specific anti-codon) for a particular amino acid; and 'wobble' base-pairing, i.e. permitting non-standard base-pairing at the 3rd anti-codon position. The record is from RNAcentral.